AGCUAGAUGGUAAGGUAACGGCUUACCAUGGCAAUGAUGGCUAGGGGUUCUGCAAGGAAGAUCCCCCACACUGGUACUGAGACACGGACCAGACUCCUACGGGAGGCAGCAGUGAGGAAUAUUGGUCAAUGGAGGCAACUCUGAACCAGCCAAGCCGCGUGAAGGAAGACUGUUCUAUGAAUUGUAAACUUCUUUUGUGACAGAGUAAAGAUAGCUACGUGUAGUUGUUUGCAAGUAUGUCAUGAAUAAGCAUCGGCUAACUCCGUGCCAGCAGCCGCGGUAAUACGGAGGAUGCAGGCGUUAUCCGGAUUUAUUAGGUUUAAAGGGUGUUCAGGCUGUCUGGUAAGUCAGAGGUGAAAGUCGGUUGCUUAACGAUCGAAUUGCCUUUGAAACUGUCAGACUUGAGUAUGGAUGUGGUAGGCGGAAUGUGUAGUGUAGCGGUGAAAUGCAUAGAUAUUACACAGAACUCCAAUUGCGAAAGCAGCUUACCAAACCAGCACUGACGCUGAAGCACGAAAGCGUGGGUAGCGAACAGGAUUAGAUACCCUGGUAGUCCACGCAGUAAACGAUGCUCACUCGCUGUUGGCAAUACACCGUCAGCGGCUAAGGGAAACCGAUAAGUGAGCCACCUGGGGAGUACGAUCGCAAGAUUGAAACUCAAAGGAAUUGACGGGGGCCCGCACAAGCGGUGGAACAUGUGGUUUAAUUCGAUGAUACGCGAGGAACCUUACCUGGGCUUAAAUGUGAAGUGCAUUGUUUGGAAACAGACAUUUCCUUCGGGACUCUUUACAAGGUGCUGCAUGGUUGUCGUCAGCUCGUGCCGUGAGGUGUCGGGUUAAGUCCCAUAACGAGCGCAACCCCUAUUGUUAGUUACCAGCGCGUCAAGGCGGGGACUCUAACGAGACUGCCGGUGUAAACCGCGAGGAAGGUGGGGAUGACGUCAAAUCAGCACGGCCCU
Molecule: ribosomal RNA, 958 nt
Filed under: uncultured organism
Description: bacterial SSU rRNA
Rfam family: Bacterial small subunit ribosomal RNA
Source: RNAcentral